Molecule: transfer RNA, 77 nt
Filed under: Candidatus Peregrinibacteria bacterium
Lineage: Bacteria; Candidatus Peregrinibacteriota
Also listed under: 1 other name
Description: tRNA-Leu
Rfam family: tRNA
About the family: Transfer RNA (tRNA) molecules are approximately 80 nucleotides in length. Their secondary structure includes four short double-helical elements and three loops (D, anti-codon, and T loops).
Source: RNAcentral
GUGCGUGUGAUCCAAUUGGCAGAGGUGUUAGGUUUAAGCCCUAAAUGAUGGUGGUUCGAAUCCAUCCACGCAUACCA